AGCAGUGUAGCAUAAUGGUCAAUGCACCAGCCUCAUAAGCUGGAGUAUAUGGGUUCAAGUCCCAUCGCUGCUA
This 73-nucleotide transfer RNA is filed under the name Crocosphaera chwakensis CCY0110. RNAcentral's name for it is "Cyanothece sp. CCY0110 tRNA-Met". It matches the Rfam family "tRNA". Rfam says of the family: Transfer RNA (tRNA) molecules are approximately 80 nucleotides in length. Their secondary structure includes four short double-helical elements and three loops (D, anti-codon, and T loops). Lineage: Bacteria; Bacillati; Cyanobacteriota; Cyanophyceae; Chroococcales; Aphanothecaceae. The record is from RNAcentral.